AUGCAGCUGGCUGGAUUUGUCCUGAGGAAGAAAUUUCAGCCAGGCUUUAUUGCUGGUGCUCAGAGUAAUGCUGUGGGGCCGGCUGGCAGCACCCCUGGGUGUGCUGAGGAGACACAGGGAUGUCCCCGUGGUGGGAAAGGCACCCCCGGGCUGCGAUGCUACCUGAGGUCUACAGCACGCCAGGAUGGGGUGUACGACUGCCUGGCAAGCCUGCUGGUGGCUGGGCAUCGUGCAAGCUGCAUCCGAACCCUAAAACAUCAAUUUAGGGAUGGGGAUAUGUGCACAGCCAGCUCGAGCCAGGGGCCAGGAGCUCCCAUCCCUGCAACUCCAACUUCUCAGGCCUCAUGUCCCUUGGCAGGGGGCUCACCUACCAGCUCAGCCCUGCUUUCCUGGGGCCCUGCUUUCCCUUUGGCAAGGUCUGGGGCUGUGGGAGGUAUGCACUGGUCAGCUGAAACCACCCCAAAUCAGUGCCAGGCGCACAGGAUUCCUACAUCACCAGCUCAGAACACAGAGAUUGUAAGGGAGACAUCUCCCUCUGCCCCCCUGAGCCCAGGGGACCCUUCUGCUCCCGCAGCCCCCCACGGGCACACGCCGAUGCCGACCCAGCCUCGUGCUGUCCCCUCGAUGCCUCCACACUGGGGCUUGGCUGGGCCAGCUGGGAUGCGCAGCCAAGGGGCAGCAGCAGCAGAAAUCACGGCCAAGUCUGGCGCUAAGAGCCUUGGAAAGCGAGCGAAAGCUCCAGCCCUUUGGCCUGGCCCCAUCAGAGCUGAGCUGGGGAUUAGAGAAGCUUCGGUCCCUCCGCGGUGCCUGUGCGCAGCAAACCCCCAAGGGGCAGGUGCCCCGUCCUCUCCCUUUAUCAAGGUGUGUUUAUCAUGGUUUUUCACACAGAAAAAUGUAAAGAUGGGGAAGAGGGUCCCCAUGGCGCACACAGCCCUUUCCAUGCACAGCAGUUCUGGGUGCUUUGCUGGGGAAACCAUGGCAUGGAGGGGACCUGCCACCUCCUGCGGGUGGCCACAGAGCUCCCCACAUCUCAGAACAUGUCCUGGGGAACCAGGAUGGCUGGUUCGAGUCCUCCUAAAUCCCCCACACAAACUCCUAUGCACACCCUGCUGCAUUCCCACUCCAUGGUGGGGUUUUUGGGGAGCCGGACCCUCACCCCAAAUGCUCCCCCAAAAAGUGCUGCCAUGGCAGAAGCGAGCUUUGCCACUCAGCAUCUUGCAGUCACACCGGGUGGAAGGGAACCUGAUAAAUCAAUCCAUCUCUAACGGCAGGGAAAGGCUGGCGAGCCUCCUCGGGAUGCUCUCGGGUCCUUCUCCGGUAGCCAUCGGCAUGGCAACGGUCGCCAAGGAAACCGCCUCCAUGGCGACGCAUCCCUGGAUGCAGGCGAUGGGCGAUGUCCACAGGCACACACACCCCAACCCCGGGCUCUGCUUCCCCAGGGGGGUCGUGGGGAAGGGAAUGGCACUGGGGGGGGCACAAGGGGUGAGCUGGGGAAGAGCAACCCCAAAAAGCACAGAGCAGCUCCCAGGCAGGAGGCUCUGUGAGCAGGGAGAUCCCGACAGAAAGCCCCGCACACGCUUUCCAUGGGAUUUAGGAGAGGGUCAGGGGAUCUCCCCGCACCCCUGGAUGGGGUGCAUCCACCCCAGUCUGGGUGCCUGA
RNAcentral lists this long non-coding RNA (1659 nucleotides) under Anas platyrhynchos platyrhynchos (common mallard). RNAcentral's name for it is "lncRNA (ENSAPLG00000023024.1)". The record is from RNAcentral. Lineage: Eukaryota; Metazoa; Chordata; Aves; Anseriformes; Anatidae.